AAGUCGUAACAAGGUUUCCGUAGGUGAACCUGCGGAAGGAUCAUUAACACAAUUUUACUGUGAUAAAUCCGUUGAAUUCUCGAAUUCAAUGGUAUCCACCCCAUUAUUGACGAACUUUCUAGAUGUUAAAAACAUUCUAAACCUCUUUCUGUACCCACACACAUUUAAACCCCUUUUACAACAUGUCUUAGACUGAAAUGAAAAAUUUCUAUCAAAAAAUUGAUAAAAACAACUUUUAACAACGGAUAUCUUGGCUCUC
Molecule: unclassified non-coding RNA, 259 nt
Filed under: fungal sp.
Lineage: Eukaryota; Fungi
Description: partial internal transcribed spacer region
Rfam family: Eukaryotic small subunit ribosomal RNA (bases 1-46)
Source: RNAcentral